CUCAUGGUUUCACGGUAUUGCAAUGAGAACAAUUUAAAACCCUUAGCGAGAAUCAAGUGGAGGACAAGUCUGGUGCCAGCACCCGCGGUAAUUCCAGCUCCACUAGCGUAUAUUAAAGUUGUUGCAGUUAAAAAGCUCGUAGUUGAACCUCUGUCUGGGGCUAGUUUUGGCUUUGGUCAGGCUAGUUCUAGGCAUCCGCCUACAAGACUUAGAGGGCAUUCAGUUGUUCACUAGGAGGAGUAGGCAUUUUACUUUGAAAAAAUUAGAGUGUUUAAGGCAGGCAAUCGCCCGCAUAUAUUAGCAUGGAAUAAUAGAAUAGGACACUUUUCCAUUUCGUUGGUUAUUGGAAUCGUGUAAUGAUUAAUAGGGACAGUUGUGGGCAUUUGUAUUUAAUUGUCAGAGGUGAAAUUCUUGGAUUUAUUAAAGACAAACUAACGCGAAAGCAUUUGCCAGGAUGUUUUCAUUAAUCAAGAACGAAAGUUAGGGGAUCAAAGACGAUCAGAUACCGUCCUAGUCUUAACUAUAAACUAUUCCGACUCAAUGUUUGACUGGCUUAUAUAACCAGUUGAGCGUUGUAUGAGAAAUCAAAGUCUUUAGGUUCUGGGGGGAGUAUGGUUGCAAAGCUGAAACUUAAAGGAAUUGACGGAAGAGCACAACCAGGAGUGGAUUCUGCGGCUUAAUUUGACUCAACACGGGGAAACUUACCAGGUUAAAACAAUAGUGGGAUUGACAGUUUGAGAGCGCUUUCUUGAUUGGUUGGGUGGUGGUGCAUGGCCGUUCUUAGUUGGUGGAGUGAUUUGUCUGCUUAAUUGCGUUAACGAACGAGACCUUAACCUGCUUACUAGACUGGCGAUCAUCAAUCGUUAGCUCUUCUUAGAGGGACUUUGGUUGUUUUAACUCCAAGGAAGUUUGAGGCAAUAACAGGUCUGUGAUGCCCUUAGAUAUCCUGGGCCGCACGCGUCAUACAAUGACUAGUUCAGAAAGUUUUCUCCUGACCCGAAAGGGGAUGGGUAAUCUUGAUAAUACUAGUCGUGUUAGGGAUCGAUCUUUGCAAUUAUAGAUCUUGAACGAGGAAUUCCUAGUAAGUGCGGUUCAUCAGACCGUACUGAUUACGUCCCUGCUCUUUGUACACACCGCCCGUCGCUUCUACCGAGUGGGUGGUCCGGUGAGAUAAUUGAACUUCGCAGGUAACUGAGAGGAAAGAUUAUCAAACCUAUCCACCU
This 1223-nucleotide ribosomal RNA is filed under the name metagenome. RNAcentral describes it as "SSU rRNA". It matches the Rfam family "Eukaryotic small subunit ribosomal RNA", at positions 493 to 1774 of the family's 1831-position model. The record is from RNAcentral.